Molecule: RNA transcript, 2351 nt
Organism: Triplophysa rosa
Lineage: Eukaryota; Metazoa; Chordata; Actinopteri; Cypriniformes; Nemacheilidae
Exons: 9
Source: RefSeq, a predicted model, not a curated record
CCAAACUAGUCAAAGAAACAGAAAGAUGUGCUGAAAUAUACAAAAUACAUCUACAUCCUUUUGUAAUUCAGGUCUUGUUUUGCUAAUAAGCACAUUAACAUCUUUUUUGGCCUUUGUGUUCAUUGAGCUCAUAGUUGCUGUAAUGGACACAUUGUAUGACACAUUGUAGUGACUGCAUAACACACUGCAAAUCAACACUUGGUUGAAACUAUAUUUCAAAUGUCAGGCAAUGCAACACCAAGGGUUAAGGAUUAAGAUGAUGUUAAAUCAUGACUCUAUGUCCUAACUUCAGAUUAAAUGUAAGUAGCAUGUAGGUGCUGUCUUUUUACAACAUAUUUACCAAAAGUACCUUUAGAAGAAUGUGCAGCAUACUUUUGUGGUUUUGUAACAGUGAUUGAGUAGGUCCACCCACUGGAGAGUUGUGUAAGGAUUCUUUCCACUUGCAGCCCACUUUCAGUGCCUACAAGUCUGUGUGGCAUUUAACAUUAAGAAUUACAUCAGCCUUUCUAAACUGUUAACAUGUGUACCUGGAUGUGCUUUUGGCUGUUGUUAUGUUUUUGUAGUUCUGCUUUACACAUGACUCUCUCAUCCAUCGUGACCCAGUCGCCAGGGCUAAUACAUGCUUUAGUCGGCAACACCAUUGAAAUUAAAUGUACACUUGAAACCAUAGUUAACUAUUGCCAUUCUACUGUUAGUUGGUACAAGGUAAAUCUAAGGACAUAUGAACUUACACCAACAAGGUUUGGUUCUAGUAUAGUUAACUCUGAUGAUAAAACUUGCACUUUAACCAUGACAAAUUUAACCCUGAAGGAUUCAGGCUUGUACUAUUGCAUGAGCACACAUAAUUCAAUGACUUUAAUGGGAAAUGGAACCAAGGUGAUUCUGACAGAUCACUCUAUACCAAAACUAUCCAACCUGUACUCACCAGACGAAACCUAUACAUCAGCCGUGCUGCUGCAGUGUCUGGUGACCAAAGUUGUUCCUUCUCAGGUCCGUGUGUUCUGGGUAAUGGGUCAGAAGCAGCAUACUGGAUGGACUGAGUCAGCCUGGACAAAUGACACUGAUUCAGCCACAGAAUUUACUCGUGCUCAUGUUUCUUUAACUUUAGAGGAAUGGACCCAAGACAAUGAGAUUAAAUGCAUUGUUGAACACGUGGGCAAGAACAUUUCCAAAACUCUGAUAAAAUGGGAACCUCCAGGAUCCAAACAAACCUGCUUGUUGCUUGUGUUCGGCGGCUACGGGGUAGCAGUCCUCAGCAUGGUUGUAAACGUUAUUAUCUCUGUGUCUUUAUACCGAGAAUUGUGCUUCAGAAAAACCUCCAUAGGGCUCACAGGAAAAGAUGUCCGUCGCAAAUUCUCCAACUAAAGUAAACACACAUACAGUGAGCAGAGAGUCCAUCUGUAAGGUGUUCCUCUGAAGGUCCCAUCAGUGUAUAACAUACGGGUGUCUGUGGAGAUCACCUGAAAUUUAAGAAAUAAAUAUAUGUAUCCUAAUACAUUUAUGUAUUUAAUACCUAUAUACAUACAUAAACUGUAUAUUCAGUUGUAUAUUUAGAAUUUACUUGUUAUUGCGAUUCUUUUGGUCCUUAACCCUCAUGCGCUUGCUUGGACAUUUUUGUCCAUUUUAAUUUGGUUUAUAUUUUUGAGAGUUUGGCUGUGUUUAUGAAAACAGCAUACAUCUGGCAAAAGGUGUGUAUUUUUAUUAGAAUUUUAAUAUUUUCCUCUAAUUUGCUUUUAUAAAUGUUUUUUUAAAGUAGGGAGUCGGCACACACAGUUGUUACACACGGGUGCUUUGGGCAAAAAUGACUCCAUUGAAACCCAUUAAAUAUGUAUUAAUAUGUAUGCCAUUUAGAUAUUAAUUUAUAAAUUCCAUAUAAACAUGUUUUCAUUAUGUUGGCAAGAGUUCAAAAUUACAAAAUAUUUUUUUUUUCAAGAAAAUUCAAAGUAUUCAUAUGUGUGGUAUUUACCACAUGUUAGAUACUUCAUUUUAUCCUAUGGAGCUUUUCCGUUAUUGUGCUUCUGCUGUAUUAUACAGCACUGCAGGCCAACUGAACAAAACAUACAGCUAUAACAAUGUUUGUGUGUUAGUAGAUGGUAAAGUGUGGUUCGUAUGUGUGUACUUAAAAAAUGUGUGUGUGUGCAGUUUGGAAGAAAGAUUGCAUACAGUAAAUCACAAAUGCCACUAAGUGUGAAUUAUUUUAAUUGAUUAAAAGUCAAAUCCAUUAUGGCUUUCCUGUAGCUCAGUGGUUAGAGCAUAGCGUUAGCAACGCCAAGGUCAUAGGUUCGAUCACAGGGAUUGCACAUAGUUAGAAACAAAUGUAUAGUAUAAUUCAAUGCUUUGGAUAAAAGCGU